GACGAACGCUGGCGGCGUGCCUAAUACAUGCAAGUAGAACGCUGAAGAGAGGAGCUUGCUCUUCUUGGAUGAGUUGCGAACGGGUGAGUAACGCGUAGGUAACCUGCCUUGUAGCGGGGGAUAACUAUUGGAAACGAUAGCUAAUACCGCAUAACAAUGGAUGACACAUGUCAUUUAUUUGAAAGGGGCAAUUGCUCCACUACAAGAUGGACCUGCGUUGUAUUAGCUAGUAGGUGAGGUAACGGCUCACCUAGGCGACGAUACAUAGCCGACCUGAGAGGGUGAUCGGCCACACUGGGACUGAGACACGGCCCAGACUCCUACGGGAGGCAGCAGUAGGGAAUCUUUGGCAAUGGGGGCAACCCUGACCGAGCAACGCCGCGUGAGUGAAGAAGGUUUUCGGAUCGUAAAGCUCUGUUGUAAGUCAAGAACGAGUGUGAGAGUGGAAAGUUCACACUGUGACGGUAGCUUACCAGAAAGGGACGGCUAACUACGUG
RNAcentral lists this ribosomal RNA (497 nucleotides) under uncultured bacterium. RNAcentral's name for it is "partial 16S ribosomal RNA". It matches the Rfam family "Bacterial small subunit ribosomal RNA", at positions 28 to 507 of the family's 1533-position model. The record is from RNAcentral.